CAUUUAAAAGCUUCUUCCGCCGUCGGAAAACAGAUGAGGAGGAUGACAAAGAGAAAGAGCGAGAGAAAGGGAAACUGGUGGGCCUGGAUGGCACAGUCAUUCACAUGCUGCCUCCUCCUCCAGUUCAGCGCCAUCACUGGUUCACAGAGGCAAAAGGAGAGUCCAGUGAGAAACCAGCCAUUGUCUUCAUGUACAGGUGCGACCCUGCUCAAGGCCAGCUCAGUGUGGAUCAGAGCAAGGCUAGGACAGACCAGGCAGCAGUCAUGGAGAAGGGUAGAGCAGAGAAUGCAUUACUACAGGACUCAGAGAAGAAGAAGAGUCAUUCUUCUCCAUCACAGAUUCCUAAAAAGAUUCUCAGAUGAGGAAACUGAAAACCCGGGAAGUUAAGAAUUGAACAGAGUCACAAAGCUAGUGCUUGUCAGAGCUGGAAUUCAAACCUCGAUCUCUCAUUCUAAAGCAUGUAUCAUCCUUAUAAUUUUGCAUUCUUAAACACAAGAUCAAUAAAAAUUGUUAUAUUCUCACUUGU
Molecule: small RNA, 526 nt
Filed under: Pan troglodytes (chimpanzee)
Lineage: Eukaryota; Metazoa; Chordata; Mammalia; Primates; Hominidae
Description: processed transcript
Source: RNAcentral